Bacillus rossius redtenbacheri is the source of this 3786-nucleotide long non-coding RNA. RefSeq lists it as uncharacterized. The record is from RefSeq and is a predicted model, not a curated record. Lineage: Eukaryota; Metazoa; Arthropoda; Insecta; Phasmatodea; Bacillidae. The transcript has 2 exons.
GGUUGAAAUUUUGCAGGGUUGUUGAAAUCAAAUUUAGGGACUUUACUGACGGGACUCUGGGCUGGCUGCUCUGUUCACUCGUCAGCGCAAGUGGCGUGACCAUGUAAUUGGGGCACGGGGCCGGCGCGGCGCGCUGCGGGCUUGCAGAAUUUUGUUUGUUUGUUUGGCCGCGCGCUGGCGCAGCCACGGGCCGCAGUUACUGGGGCGCGCUGUCGUAACAAGCCGCGCGGUGUGGCCUGCACAUUGGGGUAGAGGGGGGGUAGUCUUCCCAGAUGUUCUAGUUAGUUGUUUAGUAAAUUUGACUUCAAUAACGAGCUUUUGUUAUGGUAGGCGCGGCAGGGCGCGCGAAUUUAAGCGCAAGUGAGUGGUGACUCGGGGCUCACUCAGGCGGAGGCUAUGCGUCUCACCUGUGGUCACGAGUUGUUAGUUCGUUCGUGAUGUAGGAAUUCAGGCUCACUCAGGCGGAGGCUAUGCGUCUCACCUGUGGUCACGAGUUGUUAGUUCGUUCGUGAUGUAGGAAUUCAAGCUUUCGGGCGGAAGCUAUGGCCGACGCCAGAGGCCACGAGUCGUUUAAUUUAAGUUAGGUCAUAAUGUAGUCAUCUUCAAGCUUUCGGGCGGAGGCAAUGGCCCUUGUCACUAGUCGUUUAGUUAUAAUUUUUUAAAAUGUAAUGUUCGUUCGGAUUUUAAGGGCAGGAGAGGCCCCUACGUUAGUUUUAAGUAAUCGAUCAAGAAAGGCUUUUCGGAAAAUGUGAGUAUGGACUUAUCUUUGUUUUAAUUUUAAGUAUUAAUUAUGAUUUGAGGUAUUCGGAAGGACUAGGGAAGUGUUUAGUGAAGUUCUCUCAUUCUCUCUCUUGUAAGGUCGUUCAAUCGUUAAGGAAGUAAAGAGAUUAUUGUUUUAAAUUGUAAUCCCGCUAUUUAAAUGUUCUUUAAAAUGAUGUUGAGUAUUUGACUUUAAGAAUAAAAUAAUUUUAAUUAAGUAUUAUGUUAUUUUGCAAAAUCUCCUUAGUUCAGCUCUCACCAGACAUCCUGUACGGGAUGACGAACCUAUGAUCCUAGGUACAGUAAAGUAUUUUAUGAAGUUAAGACUAGUUGAUGCCAAGCGAGUUGUUUCUAUGUAAAGAGCUACGAUUCUCGCUCUCUCCCCCCUCUGAAGGUGCACGUGACAGAAAUGGUAGAGUUCGCCGGAUAGGUUCUAUUUCUGGAGAGAGAGAGAGGUAGAUUUUUAUGUUUAUUAUUAAGUUAGUUUCAGCUUCUGAUAGCAGGUUAUUAAGAGUUUACUUGAGGAGAGGAUUACGGAAUUUUAGUCUAUAGUGGAGGAAGUCUUUGAGAUUUUUUUUUUGACGUAACAGAUGUUUAUUUGAGGAUACUUGUAAGGAUAAAGUUUAUAGUGAUAAGUUGUUUUAAGUCGUUGAAUUUAUUGUAGAUUUAUAUCGGGGAUUAUUACGUGAGGAGAAUACGUUAUAAGUUAAAUGAUUAAUAGAGAUAAUGCAAGUGGUUUAAUUUAAUUGAAAUUAAUUUUAAGAUUGUAGGUUAAGAGAGUUAAAAUUUAAAAUAAAGUUUUUUUCGUAAAUAGGAAUUAUUUUCAAGUGAAGUUUGUUUUGCUGUCGUGCGCGUAGGAGACGAGACGUACGAAUUAAAUCAGUCGAGGGAAGGAUAAACGUUAGAAAGGAAUUAAAGAGAAAACGAGAGUUUAUGUAAAAGAGAGUUAUAGAAUUUAUAGUGAUGUUUUGUUUUAAUUAGAAAAAUGUUGAGAGUUGUUUCAGAACGACACGUCAGUGGACGUGGCAGAAUGAACACGUGACGGGGAGGUGCUGAGACCUAGCGGAGAACGGAGGAACCGCAAGCGAGGGUUGGCGCACCUGAUGGAAUUCGGUGACGUCACGGGCUCAUACGGAGACGUGGACAGGCCGUGACCUUGUUUUGAUCAGCUGUACGGUAACUUAGCGAUAAGAAAAUAGACUAUUGGUUAAAUAAAUUUAAAUUUAAGUGUGUUUUAGGAGAAGAGGAACUUUCAGUAUAUUCCUUAAGAUGAGCUGAGCAGCAGUCCAGUUUACAAGAUGACAAGAGUUCGAGAGACAAGAUACAAGAUCACUGAAACAAGAGCCAAGACUGAAGAUUCAAGAGAAGAGAAAGCUGGCAGCCAUGGACUUACAAGUGGAGAUUAAUAAGGUCAUGUAAAGUUUUAUUUUUUUUUAUGGAAGACAGUAACUGGAGUUUUUUUUUGUUAUAAACAUUAUUUACAGAACUUUUUAGGUUAUAGUAAUGUAAUGGAACUAGUGAGUUGUGGUAGCUGUCAAAAAGAACUAAUACCUUAAGUUUAAUUUUUAAAGUUAAUUUUCUUAAUUUACAGAGGGAUUAGUAGUUUUUUUUAAAACCUUAUUUAGGUUGGAAUUUAAAUACAAUAGCUUAUUAUAAAUGUGUACGAACAGUUCAAGUUCACAGUACUGAUAGGUAGGUCAGAUGAUCUUAUUGAUUUUGAUGAUUUGUUGUUUUGAGUUGAUUUUUAAGUGUUGUGAAUUAGACAAUGAAAUAGUUCUGAAAACUUAAAUUAUUUCAAGCUAAGAAAUAGUAAAGUUAAUUGUAACUCAAAGGACACCAGAAUUUAAUUUUUUUUUGAAUUAGUAAUGUUUGAAAAUUUUAUACUUUACAAGAAAGGUUAUAAACAAACAGAUCGGAUGGAACAAGGAUGCAGUAAAUCACAAUUUCAUUUAGAAUUAUUGAUUAGCUUUUGAGGUUAUGAAGUAAAAGUAAUUAUAAUUUAAAAGUUUGAAUAAAAAAAUGUUUUUUUUAUUUGUUUGAAAUAGAAAAUUUAAAAGUUAAUUAGUCAUGAUCUAGGUGGGUGAUGGGGUGGGAAUUGGCCACUCUUUUUCCCUAUAACCUCCCUAACAUGGCCUUCUAUUACAACUAACAGAAAUAAAGAAGAAGAAAAAUGAAGAAUUAUUAGUUAGAAUGUUUCUUUCAUGAAGAUACCUGAUGAACUUUUACUGUUUGGAAGAAUAGAAGCAAGGUUAGUCAGAUAUUUUUACUCAGAAGAAGAAGAAGAUAAAGCAGUUUUAUGACUCGACAAGCCAGAGAUUGGUGUUUCCCCUCUGCGCUUCUAUUGACUACGUUGUUUACUCUCAUGGGAUAGCUGGUUCGGCACCAUGGAGAGAGAUUGGUGGGCAUUGUGGUUGCCCCCAGAAGAAAAGAAGAGUAGAAGAGGUUAUGGGUGGGUCAUGUGAACUGACCUUCAACCCAGUUACUUCGUGGGGACUAUUUGCUGUAUAGAGAAGAUCAAGACUCAAGAGUUAGGGAAAAUCAUUGGAGGUCAUGUUUCCCUUCCUUAAGUUUUUCCUAUCAAAUUAUUUGCCUGAUUAGAUUAUGCUAAGGGUGGGAUACUUUAUGUUAGCAGUUGAAUUAAUUAAUUUUAUUUUUUUGUGUGUUUGCAUCCUUGCCCAUCGAUUGCAGUUUAGUAGUUAGUUUUGUAUUUGUCAGGCGUGAUGGUAAUGCCUGUUGAUGAUGUUUCAGAAUUGUAAUCUGUUCGUGAUGAGGAUGGCACAACUCCGAAGCAGAUGUGGGGAGAAGUUGUGAGCUGCCCUGGAAGCCAGUCCAGUAGCUGUUGGAGUUGAGUGGUGUUUGCUGAUGGCCAGCCCAGGGAGCUACUCUUCUCGACAACACUGACUUCGAGGAGUUGCACCAACCUUCACGAGAUAAGAGUUUAAUUAAUUGAAACAUUGUAAGGACACUUAAUUUUUUUUGAAGAACGAAAGAAGUAUGGUAAUAAACGGAAACUGAAAAAAAAAAAAA